AUAUAUAUAUAUAUAUAUAAUGAAGAAUCUUGCUGCCUUUGUAAUGCAUAUCAGGCUAUUUUGUGCACUAUAUUUAGGCUAAUGAAUUAUCUUCCUGCCAUUGCAAUGCAUUAUCAUUAUGCAAUAUUUUCUUUCCAAUCUCCCUCUCUCCCUUUCUCAAGGGAAGAUCAACUACUCUUGAAUUAAAUUGCACCUUCUUUUAUUCAUUUUUCCAGCCUUUUAAUUUGUUCUUUUGCCG
Molecule: unclassified non-coding RNA, 238 nt
Filed under: Hevea brasiliensis (rubber tree)
Lineage: Eukaryota; Viridiplantae; Streptophyta; Magnoliopsida; Malpighiales; Euphorbiaceae
Source: RNAcentral